UUCAUGGAGAGUUUGAUCCUGGCUCAGGACGAACGCUGGCGGCGUGCCUAAUACAUGCAAGUCGAGCGAAUCUYGAGGUGCUUGCACCUCUUGGUUAGCGGCGGACGGGUGAGUAACACGUGGGCAACCUGCCUGUAAGACUGGGAUAACAUCGGGAAACCGAUGCUAAUACCGGAUAAUCCUUUUCCUCUCAUGAGGGAAAGCUGAAAGUCGGCUUCUCGCUGACACUUACAGAUGGGCCCGCGGCGCAUUAGCUAGUUGGUGAGGUAACGGCUCACCAAGGCGACGAUGCGUAGCCGACCUGAGAGGGUGAUCGGCCACACUGGGACUGAGACACGGCCCAGACUCCUACGGGAGGCAGCAGUAGGGAAU
Molecule: non-coding RNA, 372 nt
Filed under: Bacillus sp. MRMR6
Lineage: Bacteria; Bacillati; Bacillota; Bacilli; Caryophanales; Bacillaceae
Description: Bacterial small subunit ribosomal RNA
Rfam family: Bacterial small subunit ribosomal RNA
Source: Rfam by way of RNAcentral